AAAGGGAGCGUAGGCGGCCUGUUAAGUCAGGGGUGAAAGACGGUAGCUCAACUAUCGCAGUGCCCUUGAUACUGAUGGGCUUGAAUUGACUAGAGGUAGGCGGAAUGUGACAAGUAGCGGUGAAAUGCAUAGAUAUGUCACAGAACACCGAUUGCGAAGGCAGCUUACUAUGGUCUUAUUGACGCUGAGGCACGAAAGCGUGGGGAUCAAACAGGAUUAGAUACCCUGGU
RNAcentral lists this ribosomal RNA (230 nucleotides) under uncultured bacterium. RNAcentral describes it as "partial 16S ribosomal RNA". It matches the Rfam family "Bacterial small subunit ribosomal RNA", at positions 562 to 791 of the family's 1533-position model. The record is from RNAcentral.